Molecule: ribosomal RNA, 142 nt
Filed under: uncultured eukaryote
Lineage: Eukaryota
Description: partial 18S ribosomal RNA
Rfam family: Eukaryotic small subunit ribosomal RNA
Source: RNAcentral
UGGUGGAGUGAUUUGUCUGGUUAAUUCCGUUAACGAACGAGACCCCUGCCUGCUAAAUAGUCAGCCUAGUGAUUUUCACUGAGCUUGGCUUCUUAGAGGGACGUGCAUUCGACUAGUUGCAGGAAGAUAGGGGCGAAUAACA